UUGCAUGACACUUUUUAUUUUGGCAACAUUUGGUUUCAUAAAAUAGUGACUCCGAGCUCUGAACCAAAGAAGCUGUGUCUGAGGUGUCUUAUGAUACCAAAUAAAU
Long non-coding RNA from Haliotis rubra (blacklip abalone), 106 nucleotides. RefSeq lists it as uncharacterized. NCBI's taxonomy places the organism in Eukaryota, Metazoa, Mollusca, Gastropoda, Lepetellida, Haliotidae. The transcript is spliced from 2 exons. The record is from RefSeq and is a predicted model, not a curated record.